AUCCAGUUGACGAGUUUUAAUUAGAGUGAAACGCGCGUCCUGGAU
Molecule: non-coding RNA, 45 nt
Filed under: Schistosoma haematobium
Lineage: Eukaryota; Metazoa; Platyhelminthes; Trematoda; Strigeidida; Schistosomatidae
Source: RNAcentral